AUAUUAAUAAGCGGAGGAAAAGAAACUAACAAGGAUUCCCUUAGUAACGGCGAGCGAAAAGGGAAGAGCCCAGCGCUGAAUCUGACGUUCCCCGGACGCUUAGAAAUGUGGCGUUUGGGACGAAACAUUGCCUGUAUUGAAAAAUUAUCCAAGUCCUUCUUGAAACGGGGGGCU
RNAcentral lists this ribosomal RNA (174 nucleotides) under uncultured eukaryote. RNAcentral's name for it is "partial large subunit ribosomal RNA". It matches the Rfam family "Eukaryotic large subunit ribosomal RNA", at positions 40 to 202 of the family's 3401-position model. The record is from RNAcentral.